This 230-nucleotide ribosomal RNA is filed under the name uncultured bacterium. RNAcentral's name for it is "partial 16S ribosomal RNA". It matches the Rfam family "Bacterial small subunit ribosomal RNA", at positions 563 to 791 of the family's 1533-position model. The record is from RNAcentral.
AAGCGUGCGCAGGCGGUUUUGUAAGACUGUCGUGAAAUCCCCGGGCUCAACCUGGGAAUGGCGAUGGUGACUGCAAGGCUAGAGUUUGGCAGAGGGGGGUAGAAUUCCACGUGUAGCAGUGAAAUGCGUAGAUAUGUGGAGGAACACCGAUGGCGAAGGCAGCCCCCUGGGUCAAAACUGACGCUCAUGCACGAAAGCGUGGGGAGCAAACAGGAUUAGAUACCCCUUGU